CAUGCACUGGUGGGGUUCCUCGGCCUGGCCUGUGCCCUCUCACAAUCCAGGACCCCUCGGGGGAUGUCAGACUGCUGGUUUCAGCCCGAUCUUCACAGGCCAGGCCGAGGGACCCCACCAGUGCACA
Molecule: microRNA precursor, 127 nt
Filed under: Myotis brandtii (Brandt's bat)
Lineage: Eukaryota; Metazoa; Chordata; Mammalia; Chiroptera; Vespertilionidae
Description: mir-9193 microRNA precursor family
Rfam family: mir-9193 microRNA precursor family
Source: Rfam by way of RNAcentral